Molecule: ribosomal RNA, 601 nt
Filed under: Dialister sp. oral taxon A97
Lineage: Bacteria; Bacillati; Bacillota; Negativicutes; Veillonellales; Veillonellaceae
Description: bacterial SSU rRNA
Rfam family: Bacterial small subunit ribosomal RNA
Source: RNAcentral
AGCCUGACGGAGCAACGCCGCGUGAGUGAUGACGGCCUUCGGGUUGUAAAACUCUGUGAUCCGGGACGAAAAGGCAGAGUGCGAAGAACAAACUGCAUUGACGGUACCGGAAAAGCAAGCCACGGCUAACUACGUGCCAGCAGCCGCGGUAAUACGUAGGUGGCAAGCGUUGUCCGGAAUUAUUGGGCGUAAAGCGCGCGCAGGCGGCUUCCCAAGUCCCUCUUAAAAGUGCGGGGCUUAACCCCGUGACGGGAAGGAAACUGGGAAGCUGGAGUAUCGGAGAGGAAAGUGGAAUUCCUAGUGUAGCGGUGAAAUGCGUAGAGAUUAGGAAGAACACCGGUGGCGAAGGCGACUUUCUGGACGAAAACUGACGCUGAGGCGCGAAAGCGUGGGGAGCAAACAGGAUUGGAUACCCUGGUAGUCCACGCCGUAAACGAUGGAUACUAGGUGUAGGAGGUAUCGACCCCUCCUGUGCCGGAGUUAACGCAAUAAGUAUCCCGCCUGGGGAAGUACGAUCGCAAGAUUAAAACUCAAAGGAAUUGACGGGGGGCCCGCACAAGCGGUGGAGUAUGUGGUUUAAUUCGACGCACGCGAAGAACCU